This 295-nucleotide long non-coding RNA is filed under the name Marmota monax (woodchuck). The record is from RNAcentral. Lineage: Eukaryota; Metazoa; Chordata; Mammalia; Rodentia; Sciuridae.
UGGAAGCAGAUUGGAUAUUUCGGGGUGUGAAAUACCAGUUUGGUGGCAACUGAGAAGAGAAGGGCUUUGAGCCUUGCUACAAUGAAGUGCUGACAGUGGUGCAAGGAAAGCUUCACCAGCCAGAGGAGAUCCAAGGAAGGUCCUUCAAUGCUUUCUCUUACUAUUAUGAUGGAGCCGUUGAAACACACAUGAUUGAUUAUGAAAAAGAGGGUGUUUUAAAAGUUGAAGAGUUUGGGAAAAAAAGCCAAGGAAGUGUGUGAAGAUAACUUGGAGAACUUCACCUCAGACAGUCCUU